UGACCUCGGAUCAGGUAGGAUUACCCGCUGAACUUAAGCAUAUCAAUAAGCGGAGGAAAAGAAACCAACAGGGAUUGCCCCAGUAACGGCGAGUGAAGCGGCAACAGCUCAGAUUUGGAAUCUGGCCUUCGGGCCCGAGUUGUAAUCUGGAGAGGAUGCUUCUGGCGCGGUGCCUUCCGAGUUCCCUGGAACGGGACGCCGGAGAGGGUGAGAGCCCCGUACGGUUGGACACCUAGCCUCUGUGAAGCUCCUUCGACGAGUCGAGUAGUUUGGGAAUGCUGCUCAAAAUGGGAGGUAAAUUUCUUCUAAAGCUAAAUAUUGGCCAGAGACCGAUAGCGCACAAGUAGAGUGAUCGAAAGAUGAAAAGCACUUUGAAAAGAGAGUUAAAAAGUACGUGAAAUUGUUGAAAGGGAAGCGCCUGUGGCCAGACUUGCGCCGCGCGGACCACCCAGCGUUCUCGCUGGUGCACUCCGCGGUGGCGCAGGCCAAGCAUCGGUUUUUCUAGGGGGAUAAAGGUCGCGGGAACGUAGCUUCCUCCGGGAGUGUUAUAGCCCGUGGCGUCAUGCCCUUGGGGGGACCGAGGACCGCGCUUCGGCAAGGAUGCUGGCGUAAUGGCCACCGGCGACCCGU
This 630-nucleotide ribosomal RNA is filed under the name Grosmannia abietina. RNAcentral's name for it is "partial 28S ribosomal RNA". It matches the Rfam family "Eukaryotic large subunit ribosomal RNA", at positions 1 to 652 of the family's 3401-position model. The record is from RNAcentral. Lineage: Eukaryota; Fungi; Ascomycota; Sordariomycetes; Ophiostomatales; Ophiostomataceae.